Molecule: non-coding RNA, 2816 nt
Organism: Nothobranchius furzeri (turquoise killifish)
Lineage: Eukaryota; Metazoa; Chordata; Actinopteri; Cyprinodontiformes; Nothobranchiidae
Source: RefSeq, a predicted model, not a curated record
GGUCAACAGAUACAACUUUUCCUGAACUGUGUGGACCACCGUGCGAAGCUCUGACAAAGCCUGAGAACAUUUUGGCCAGCCGUUCAUCGUGGUGUUUUGUACCGCACCCUGGCCAACAACAGCUUCUCAACUAUGUUCUGGACAUCAGCAGACCCAAAGAUGAGCUGAUUGUUGAAACGUCUUCUGGAUGCCUCACGCGGGCAGAUUUUUGGACACUGGGUUUAAACAAAGAAAUGGAAUCGACUAUUGCAAAUGGCUGUUUUGAGCUUAUCACUAAAAUUGUUCAGUCAAAGGGGAUAAGCGUUUACAUAGGAAAUCUGUACGUCACCCGGACUUGGCUUGCACCCUAUGGCUGUGAUCCAUUGCAGUCCUUUCCUACUGAUGCUCAGAGGAUGGACAUCAUAGUUCUCCCUCUGGACACCUGCUCAUUUCCAGUUGUGUGUAAGUCUUGUUUUUUGACACAUACAAACUGUUAGAAUGUUGCUAUGUGUCUGAGAUGUAUUCAAGCUUUUAUGACGCAGUUUCAAAAGUCUUUGAUUGUGAUCGCUUGCAAUGACAUUGUUUUCAGGUUUGAAGCCAUGGCUAACUGUCUUUUAGAUACUGAAGCCACCUAAAAGAGAAAUCCUCUUUCUUGACCCGUUACACACAAAGGCAGGAUUUGGUGGCCAACAAUGUGUUUCACUUUUGAGGUCACAUUUUUAUAAGCAUUUUUGGUUUGUUCCUGACUUUUUGGGAACCUGUUCAGUGUUCCAGGUUAAGUGCAUGAUCAUGUUCUGUUCACACAUACAGUACACUCACAUGCUUUUUUAUAAACUAUAUCAGCACGAUGCUUCAACAUUUUAUUCUAUUUCUCAUCUUCACAUUCUGAUCAAGUCAGUGAUGCUGUCUUUAGAUGAGUUUCAGACAUAAAUAGGGUCUUCAAACGUUUUAGUUUAACAUAAAACACCAUUAAAUAUUAGUUUAUAAAAUAUGCCAACCUCAAAUUAAAGCUGAAAAUGUUUUAUUUUGACCAACUGUGAGCAUGCGACUGUACUUUUUCAUUUUGUUAUGCUGUUUUGUUGAGGUCAUGUUCCUAAGGCCUGUAGUUACAGUUGGUGCUAUUAGCAAUAAACAUUUCACACCCAUCAUGAUGAUGUCUGUUAACUUGUGAAUGUAACUGUCUUGAAAAAAAGGAAAAAAAGGAAUCUUGCAGUGAAGCUCAUUCCCGGGCAGUGGUCAGAAAAAAAGAGCUUUGACUUGAAGGAGCUCUGGCAAGCUAUUUGCACACUGGAGAGAGGAAGCCAAAGCUGUGCUCGAAGGACAACACGUGCCCAUUUUCAGACUGAAAAAGCGCAAGUUCCAGGAAGUCAGUCAGGAGCCAGCAGUUGUUGAAGAGCUGCGUCCUGCUGUGCAGUGGGUUGUCCAAAAUAAGGCACUUUUCCAUAGACACGUAACAGUGCCAAAAUAUCUGUCCUUAAAUCAAGGGGACCAGCAGAGGGUCUUAAGAGACAUGUCAGAGGAAGAAGACACUGGAGCAAGGGACAUGUUCCUCUUUGUUUUUCAGUAUGCAGAGGACAUGGAGCUCUUUUUGAAAGCACAUGCUGAUGAGCAGGGACUAAGGGUCAGUGCUAUGUUUGACAUGUAAUGGACAAAUGAAGGCACUGACUGUGUUUGUUUGUUUGUUUGUUUGUUUAAUAUGUCGUUGUUGUUGUUUUUGUUUUGUUUUUGUAUAGUACAAAAUUCCAAUUAAACUUAUUUCAAAAUGUUGUUCACUUGAUUCUAUGUCCAUAAUUAUAAGAAAGGAUUACAGUGUAACAGCAUUAAAUGUAAAUGUAACAGCAUUUUUUUAUACUUGUAAUUUCAAAAUAAAAAGCUUAUUGUUGAUAUUAACAGUAAAGAAUUGUAAUCAAUAAUAAUUGUAUACAUUUUAAACAUUAGCACUCUGGGCUCUAUCCUGGCCAUUUGUGGCCACUUCACUCAAGAUUCACUUAUUCUUUUUUUUUUUUUUUGACUGCUGCACUGCAGUGGACCUAAAGAAUGACACGGGUUUGAUCUUAAGGAUCUAAUAGUUGUGUGUGUUGUGCAUGACAUUGCCACACAAAUAUGUAUUUGCAAGAUAAGAGUAGAAUAAAUUAUGACGCAUCAAAUAUUACAUAGGCUGCAGUGAAUUUCUGUUGAUACAGACUAUUGAGCUUUGAGUUUCCCAGUCAAACUUAGCUUUGAAGCACAUGCUAAAAACACUUUUACUCUUGUACACUUCAUAACAAGACAGCAUAACCAAAAUAUUAACAAAAUACAUAUUAUUAAAAAAUUCAAAGCUGCAGCACAUACAGCAACAAACACUGUUAGUAAAUGUGUCCUGGAGUUUAUGCAGGUGCAGAAAGUGCUCCUGCUGUAAAUAAGCCUAACAGCUUCCAGAUCACUUAUUUUUCUGGAAAGAUGGUAGGAAGGGCAUCACUGCUCAUUUCUACAGUCUCCCAGAUCUUGGAAUACAAUGCCUAUGGAACCACUUCACAGUACUAGGAGUCCAUUAAAACCUAUAAAGAGAGUGAUCCUGGAAGAAAUGGGGCACACACUAGUGACCUCAACUAUUGCAAGACAGCCUUUUCCCCAAUGCUCAGAUGGGGGGAAAAAAGGAACUAUCAUGAAAACAUUAGGACUUUAUCACCGUUGAACAAAAAUAAUAGUGCAUAAUAAUCUAUGUUGAUGUUAAUCAAUUAGAUGUCCCAGACUCUAUAAUACAGCAGUCCCUCGUUUAUUGCAGGAGUUACGUUCUAAAAAUAACCCGCGGUAGGUGAAAUCCGCACAGCUAAGACACACUACUACAAUCAUACAUU